Molecule: ribosomal RNA, 398 nt
Filed under: Cryptosporidium environmental sequence
Lineage: Eukaryota; Apicomplexa; Conoidasida; Eucoccidiorida; Cryptosporidiidae
Description: SSU rRNA
Rfam family: Eukaryotic small subunit ribosomal RNA
Source: RNAcentral
UGUUAAUAAUUUUUAUAAUUUCAAUAUAUUUAUUGAUUUAUAAAUAUUAACAUAAUUCAUAUUACUAGAAAUAAUUUUAGUAUAUGAAAUUUUACUUUGAGAAAAUUAGAGUGCUUAAAGCAGGCAUAUGCCUUGAAUACUCAGCAUGGAAUAAUAUGAAAGAUUUUUAUCUUUCUUAUUGGUUCUAAGAUAAAAAUAAUGAUUAAUAGGGACAGUUGGGGGCAUUUGUAUUUAACAGUCAGAGGUGAAAUUCUUAGAUUUGUUAAAGACAAACUAAUGCGAAAGCAUUUGCCAAGGAAGUUUUCAUUAAUCAAGAACGAAAGUUAGGGGAUCGAAGACGAUCAGAUACCGUCGUAGUCUUAACCAUAAACUAUGCCAACCAGAGAUUGGAGGUUGUU